RNAcentral lists this transfer RNA (101 nucleotides) under Streptomyces sp. ADI96-15. Its description in RNAcentral is "tRNA-Ser". The record is from RNAcentral. Lineage: Bacteria; Bacillati; Actinomycetota; Actinomycetes; Kitasatosporales; Streptomycetaceae.
GCCCGCCGGGGGCUCCGGCUUGCAGGAGGUGCGGCGUGUGGAGUUCGCCGGCGCGCAGGGCGAUCUGCGGUUCCGGCGAGCGCAUCGCCGCGGCGACCGCC